This 24459-nucleotide long non-coding RNA is filed under the name Medicago truncatula (barrel medic). RNAcentral's name for it is "long non-coding RNA (MTRU_LNC002865)". The record is from RNAcentral. Lineage: Eukaryota; Viridiplantae; Streptophyta; Magnoliopsida; Fabales; Fabaceae.
CACACAACUUCUUUGAAUUUCUACUUUGGAAUUUUAUUUUUCUUUAAUUAUAAUCAUGGCAGCAGAGAAGAGCAAAAUCCUAGUCCUAGGAGGAACAGGUUACAUAGGAAAAUUCAUAAUUGAAGCAAGUGCAAAAGCAGGACAUCCCACGUUUGCUUUGAUUAGGGAGAGCACAGUUUCUCAUCCUGAAAAAUCAAAGCUUAUUGAGAGCUUCAAAACCUCUGGAGUUACUUUACUUUAUGUAUGUAUCUUUCAAUCACUAUUAAUUUAUUUAUUUUCAUACAUAUUUAUUUAAUUAUUUCAAAGUUCAAAUAAAUAUUCUAAUAUCUAUUUCUCAUUUUGAUUCUAUAGGGUGAUCUGGGUGAUCAUGAAAGUCUUGUUAAGGCAAUUAAGCAAGUUGAUGUAGUUAUUUCAACACUUGGUGGAGCACAAGUUGAUGACCAAGUUAAGCUCAUAGCAGCAAUAAAGGAAGCAGGAAACAUCAAGGUACAAAUUGGUCUUAUUUUUCACUGAAUUAAAAUAGCUAUGUACUUGAAUUAGCUAUAUAAAUUGGUGUUAUUUUGUUCCUAUCAGAGGUUUCUCCCAUCUGAAUUCGGGAUCGACGUUGACCGUCACCAUGCUGUUGAGCCGGUAGCUAGCUUUUUUGGGCAAAAAGCAAAAAUCAGAAGGGCAAUUGAAGCUGAAGGAAUUCCUUACACUUAUAUUUCCUCUAACGCCUUUGCCGGAUACUUCCUCCCUACAUUAGGACAACAAAAUGUCACAUCUCCUCCCCGCGAUAAAGUGGUCAUUCUUGGAGAUGGAAAUGUCAAAGGUAACAUCUUACAAAAUCUUUUCAAAACAUUUUUUUUUUCUACAUGGACAUACUCGAUUACCUGUUAAAAUUGUACAUUUGAAAUUCGUGUUUUAGGAGUUUAUGUCACGGAGGAAGACAUCGGGACUUAUACCAUUAAAGCAGUGGACGAUCCAAGAACCUUGAACAAAGUUGUAUACUUUAGGCCUCCUGCCAAUGUUUUGUCUUUCAACGAACUCGUCUCAUUGUGGGAGAAUAAAAUUAAGAGCACCCUCGAGAAAAUUUAUGUUCCAGAGGAUCAACUUCUUAAGAGCAUUCAAGGUUAGUACGAACAAUCUUUUUUUAAUGAAAAUAUUUAUGAUAGCAAUACCUUAAAACAAUUUAAUGUGUAACAUAUAUCAUAUGUUAUACUUAUGCUAUAUGAAUUUUUUUUCUUCUAUGCAGAGUCUCCUUUCCCUGCAAACUUAAUGUUGGCAUUAGGUCACUCCAUGUCAGUAAAAGGAGAUUGUACAAAUUUUGAGAUUGAACCUUCUUUUGGUGUGGAAGCUUCUGAAAUUUAUCCUGAGGUGAAAUACACUACGGUCGACAACUACUUGAAUGCAUUUGUUUGAAGCCAAAACAAACCUCUUCACCAAAAUAAAGCCAAAACAAGUGUAGUAUUGGUCAAAUUUUCAUAUUUUGUGUUUAUGAAUUAUGUUAACCAUUUGUGUUUGUUUCAUCGUCAAAAGAAUCCUUUCACAUUUUGCUUUGUAAUGAUCGAUUUACCAUGUACUGAGUUAAAGUUCAGAUAAUGAACAUCUAUUAGGAUAUGAGUAUCACUAUGCUAAUGCUUACAUGUACAUUUUCAAUGAUUAGAUGUAUGAUGGCAAUGAUGCUAAAUCAUAUAUAUCUAUACCAAUAGUAACAAGUAAAGUCCGUAUCUUUUUAUUUAUGCAAUUAAGUUUGAAUUACUUAGAUGAAAAAUAAAUAGUUGGAAUAACUUUUGUUAUCAUUAGUAAAUUGCAACGAAAAAUUAACGCAAAAACAUACUCCAAUAUUCUUAAAUUAAAUAUGUUCAUGGCUAAUAAUAUCAGUUUUUUUAUUUUUCAAAAAAAAUAAUAAUAAUAUCAGUUUUCGAUUAUUACCACCCUUAUCUUCGAAUAAUGAAGCUGUGGUAAACAAAAAAGACAAAGAAAAAUGAAAUAACACGAUAAAAUAUAAAAAUACAACGUAAAAACUUCAAAGACGAGAAAAAUCCACGACAAUUGUCUAAAAAAUUGUUACAAUGUGUAGACUAUCUUCAACCACCCCAUGACCUCAAUACACACAUACGCUCCAAAAAAAACAUCUAACCUACCCCUUACACAGGAGAAAGAAUAAUGUACAAUAUAAACUUAAAGUGUUUCUGACCGAUGCAUUUUAUAAUGAAGAAUUAGAGCUCAUAUAUAUAUAUAUAUAUGAGAUUUGCUAGAACACGCUAGUUUUUAUGUGGGAGUGUUUUAGCAAGUUACACUUUAAGGUGUAUUUAACUUACUUUUUAGUUAUAACUUGCUAAAACACACAUUCUAAAAAAUAAGUGGGUGUAUCCUAGCAAAUGCCUAUAGGAGUUGCUAACAUACACCCACUUAUUUUUAGGAGGUGUGUUUUAGCAACAUUCACCUUAAAGUGUAUUUAACAACUUUUUAGUUAUAUCUUUGCUAAAACACACCUUAAUAAAAACUAGUGGGUGUAUCCUAGAAAACCCAUGUGUAUAUAUAUAUAUAUAUAUAUAUAUAUAUAUAUAUAUAUAGCAUUGGUCUCCUUUUUCCUUUACAAUUCUAAGAAAUAUGGAUCUUCUUCCACAUAUAUAUUUCCAAUCAACACCAAUAAUCUCUAUCUUAAUUUAAAAUGGUACAUCUACUUCCAUUCUUUCUCCGACGAUUAUAGUUCAAAAAAACUGUCAUACUCCACCAUAAAGACUAUAGUCGCAUGAAGCUAAACCACAUCAAGAAUUUUAACAUUGUCUUUAGUGACGAUCAUACUUCAAAAGAGUUAUCAUACUAAGGUAUCGAAGAAUUUUAACACAUGUAUAUUGCUUGAUUAUUAAAUUACUUAUUAAAUCCUUACACCUGUUAAUAAAAUAUACAAUAUUUUAUUAACUUUUUUUAAAAGAACUUAUUCAAAUUUAAUUUUUUAUUAUUAUAGAGUACAUAGUGUAAAUUUGUUGAUUCAUACUCAACAACCUUACACCUCAUGUUUCCCUUGCAAAAUCCCACCCAUUGAAUAUUAAAUUCAUGAAUAUAUGGCUUCUUAAUAGACUUUUAUAUGGGUACACAAAUUUAAUAAUUUGCACACCCUAAAAACCAAAUUGAUAAGUUGGUUAAUAGGGUGUUCAUGGGUUGGGUCAACCCAUAAAAUCCAAUCAAACUCACUCAAGGAACCCAAAAAAAAAAGGGUUGGGUUGGGUAAUUGGAUGGGUAUGGAAAACCUAUAAAAAUAAAUGGAUUUCGGAUAAAAUCAGACCCAAACCCAAAAAACUCAUUUAUCCAAUAAUGUUAAUAUUUUUUAUCUUUAUUUCAUAGUAGAAGAAAAUUAUAUUUCCAAAACAUACACAUUGUACCCAAUAUAUUGAAAAUCAAAACAUAUUAUAGUUACAAAUUAAGAUGUUGUAUUUUUUGGUUAUUUUGAUACUAAUGCAAUUUUAUGUCAUGCAACUUUAAUUUGUUGCAAGUAUUUUAUGAUGGAGUUUAUUAUUUGAUAUUCUAUGAUGGAUAAAAUUAUAGUAAAAAUAAGUUAAACAUUUUUUUUAAGAAAAUUAAAAAGUAGAGUAAUAUUUAAUUUUUUUUAUAAGGAAUUGUCAUUUAGUCAUUUAAUAUUAAAAAAUAGAAAAAAUAAGUUGGGUAACCCACUACCCAAUCCAACCCAACCCAAAAACUAGUGGGUUUGCCCAACCCAACCCAAAAAUUAGUGGGUUUGCCCAAACCCACCCAAUGGUAUAUCAGGUGAUUAUUUUACCUCACCUAAACCUAUUUGGUUCGGUUUUGGGUUUGGCCAAACCCAACCCAAACCCUAUUGGUUAAUACUCCCUCCGGUCCUAUUUACAAGAAACAAUUUACUUUUUAGAUACAUUAAAUAAUUUAUAUAUUUGGUUUAGAUUCUUGACUAGAUACAUACAUUAUUCAAUGUAUCUAAAAAGUGAUCUUUCUCUUGUAAACAGGAUCGGAGAGAGUAUAAAACAUACUUAAUGAUAAAAGAAAAAAAAACAAAGACGGAAAGUCGCAUUUAGGUAUAUCUUUAUAAUUUUAAUAUAUUUAAGAACUAUUGUGAAAAUAUUUCACACAGUUAAAAAUUUAAAAUUUUGGAUCUGUAUGGGCACAACUUUUUUAUCUAUUCAUUAUCAUUUAGAUAUACUAUAAUUUGUAUCUAUGAGAAUUGGCUACGGUGUUAAAUUCCAACAUUGCAAUCUUUCAUUCUUAAAUUCCAACAUUGCAAUCUUUCAUUCUGUUUUCUUUUCAAGUGAGCAUCAAUUGCAUCAUCAUGAAGCUCAAAUAAUCAUUCUUGAUCAAAAAUAAUAAUAAUCAUUGUUCAUAAUAUUUAUUUGGGGUGUUUGCGGUGCGGUUUGGAUCGAUUAUUAGGUAAAAUGCCAUCCAAUCUAAAAUAAAAAUCAAUGUGGUUCGGUUUGAAUGACUAUUCUAAAAAAAUCUGAACCGAUCUCAUCCAAAUAUAUGCGGUUUAAUUUGGAUUGAUUUUGGGAUAUCCAAAAUGAUUCGAAAUCUGAUUAUAGCGGUUUUUACAAAACAACAUUCAAGCGCAUCCAAAAAUAUUUGAUUUUUUAGAUCGAUUUACGGUUUUAUUUCGGAUUGGUUUGGAUUUGAACAUCCUACUUCUUGAAAAUUGAACAAAGUCUUCAUUUGAGCACUCCGCCUUUUCUAAUUUUUACCAGAGUUUUAGGACUAUGUAGGGAAAUUGUUAAUGGCUGCCCAUCACCUAAUUUCACUUGUGACGGAUUUAUGUUUAAGAACAUGACUCGUAAUGUCUCUGUUUUUUUUUUAGAGAUCAUAAUGUCAUGCUUGAUCACGUAAAAUAUAAAAAGAAAAAAUAUAUGCUUGAUUAUCAACUUGAUACUAAAUGCCUAAAGUGAAGUCAAGAUUUUUAUCAUAAAAAAAAAAAAAAAAAGUUGAAUUCAAGACCAUGUUUUACACUACCGACCCUCCCUAGCCGUCGGUCAAAAAAACAAGCACUUACUUACGUCAUGAGGUUUUUUUUUCUUUUCAAAAGACUUUUCUAAUUUCUUUGGUGUUUCUAUGAAACACGAUAAUGAUUUUUCUUCUUCUCGAAGUAUGACUACGAUUAAUGCUGCAUUUUAACAAAUUGAGAUGGGGUGUAUUGAAUUAGGAUUUUAAAAGACUAUUUUAUUAAAAAAAGUCUUUAAGAUUUUAAAAGACCGUGUGAGAUUGUAUUGAUUCUGUGAGAUUUUAAAAGAUUUUUUAUGUAAAAGACUUUAUACACUCAAGAUUUUAAAAGAUUUAUCACACUGACUUUAAAGAAUUUCAAAGGAUUUUAUAUGAUUUUAAAAUUUCAAAGGAUUCAAUGAAUUUUAGGGGAAAAAGAACAAACUUACAAGCGUGAAUGAUAAAAAUCUCAGAGAGGGGAUGAGAGAUGAGAGAGAGAGAGAGAGAGAGAGAGAGAGAGAGAGAGAGAGAGAGAGAGGAGAAUGGAGAGAUAGAGAAACGAAGAGAGAAAUGAGAGAAUAGGGAGGGAGAGGGAGAGAGGGAGAGAAAGGAGAAGAAAGAGAUAUUAACUUUUAAAAGAAAAACAAUUUCAAGAAAUCUCUUCUUUUCAUGAAAGACUUUUUCUUGUUAAAAUUACACUACAAAAUUCCACAAAAUCCAUCAAAAUCCAAUUUAUUAAACAAUCCUUCGAAAUUUGAAUGAUUUUGAAUAUCGCAAGACUUUUUUUAAGUGAUGAAAAGUCUUGAUUGAAUACCUCAAGACUUUUUUAAAAUGACAAAGAGUCUUGAUUGAGGGUGUGUUUGGUAAAAAAAAAGCUAUAAGCUAGCUGAUAGCUGAUAGCUGAAAAGCUAGCUUAUAGUUGAUGGCUGAUAGCUGAUAGCUUAUAGCUGAAAAGUUAGCUCAUUAAAAUUAAAAGUGUUUGGUAAAAUUAGUUGUUGAAGUGACUAUAAAUAUAAAAUGACAUAAAAGGACGUGCUUGUUUAAUUUUUUUUCUAAUAUCAUAUAUACAAUUUUUAUUACUUAACACAUUUAUUUUUAAAUAUUUAAAUAUAUUUCAAAUUAUUUUCAUCUCCAAAAUAAUAAAUGUAUUUAUGAAUUCAAUCGAACUUUUUUAUUUAACAAUUUUAUUUUAUUUUUAUGAAUUUUAUUUAACUAAACUUGCUUCACUAUUAUAAAUUCUAUAUAAAAUUAUAUAUUAUAUGAAUUAUGAGCAAAGUAAAAAAAAAAACAAAAAAAGUGGACAAGAAAAUUUAAAAAGUCAUAUAUGAUAAACAUGGUUAGUUUAAGAAGAUAGUGGAUAGUUUUUUUUUAUUAUAAUAAAAUAAAAUAAAAUUAAGAAAAGGUUAAAAUUGGAAGAAAGUAUAAAAAGCUACAAGCUAUAAGCUAAAAAGCUACAAGCUAUAAGCUAAAAAGCUACUUGGAUUAGCUUCUUAAAAAACGCUAUAAGCUAAUGAGAAAAGCUUUUUACCAAACACAUCUCAUUUUAUCAAAACAAGCUUAUAAGCUAGCUUUUUUGUGUUACCAAACACAGCCUGAAUAUCACAAGACUUUUUUUAAGUUGCAAAAAGUCUUGAUUGAAUACCACGAGACUUUUUCAUAAUAAAAAAGUCUUUUAAAAUCCUAUAGAAUCCUAAUCCAAUACAAAGAAUCUAUAUAAAAUAAACAAAAUACGUUUUAUUAUUUUUUAAGUUUGACAAAAAUAUCGGAAUAGUCUUGUUAAGCUUUAAAUAAGUCUUUAAGUUUUUUUUUUUUUAGUUUCAAUAGGUCCUUUAAGUUUUUUUAAAUUUCAAAUAUAUCAUUUUAAAUUGUUAAUUUAAUGCACUUAUUUAAAGUUUUUAAAUGGGUAAUAAGGACCUAUUUAAAAAUUGAAAAACUUAAACAACUAACUGUAUAUUUUUGUCAAAUUUAAAGAAUCAAAAGAGGUAUUUCACCUAUAAAAUAUAACAUUUGUCCUAUUUUUAAAUAGGGUUAAUUAAGUUUUUAGUGCCUAUAAAUAUUCACAGUUUUGUUUUUAGUUCCUACAAAAUAAAAUCACACUUUUUAGUCCUUCUGACAUUUUAGAGACCAAAACUGUUGAUGAAUUUUUUUUUACAGGGACUAAAAAUGGUGAUGGAAAAUUUUAUAGGGACUAAAGUGUGAUUUUAUUUUGUAGGGACUAAAAACAAAACUGUAAAUAUUUAUAGGGACUAAAAACUUAAUUAACCCUUUCAAAUAUAGCUGUCAAAACGGACGGCCCGGCCCGUUUGGGGCCGGGUCUAACGGGCUUCGGGCUUUAGCGGGCCGGGCUAAAAAGCCUGGUUGAAAAACAUGAUUGAAAUAUACUACCUGAGCCCGGCCCGUAUUAAAAAUUAUAUAUAUUUUAUUUUUAAAAAGUACUAUAAAACACUACUAUAAAUUUUUUAUAAAUAAUAUUUUUAAUAUGUUUAAAUAAUGUCUAGCACAAAAAUAAAUUGUAAACAUUUUCGUACAAACUUCGUAAACUAAAACGACGAGGAAAAUGAUUUUAAAUAAAUUAGAUACGUUAUGGUUAUAGAUAUUUAUAUAUUCGAUCUUUAAAACUAUAAAUAACGAAACGAAUAAAUAUAAUUUUAUAUUACAUUUAUAUUUGUGUUAAUUCAUUGAAUUUUCACUUUUGUUUUUUACUUUGAUAAUCAACUAAGUAAAGAAUUAUUUGAAAAAUAUAUAUAAUUUAUAGGAUUUUUUUUUGUUAUGCUGACUAACGGGCUACCCGCGGCCCGUUCGGGCUAGCCCUAACGGGUACCGGGCUUUUAAGGGCCGGGCUAAAAAACCCUAUUAAAAUUUGGGCUCAAUAUUUUAGGCCCAAACCCUAUAUUUAUUCGGGCUAAACGGGCUGGCCCAUACGGCCCGGCCCGUUUUGACAGCUCUACUUUCAAAUAUAACGUGGGUUAGGUGGUUCUUUGGUACUUUUUGUGUACAACUUGUCGAGAAUAAUAUUAGCUGAUAAAAAAAGAUAUAUAUACACAAACAUAUGAGAUGUUGAAUGGAUUUGUCAAGCUAAGUUAGAAGAAACUACCCAGGUAGGGAUUGGCUUAAUGGGGAAGAGAGGUGCAAAAUCAAGAAGCUUGCACUUCCCUAACUUAAAUUAUCGAUUUCAUUUGUCUUUUUUUUUGUUACGAACUUGUUAUCCUUGGUGUAUAAUUUCAAAGGUUAAUUAGCAACAAAGUUCUCCUCAAGAUGCCUUCAACAAUUGUGAUGUAAAUUUUUAAAACUAAUUUGUAAUUCUGAUGGGUUGGGAAUUAAGUUUUUUCCUUUCAAAAGAAAGGGGUAAGUUUUCUAACCGGAAGUAUUAGGAAUUCAGUUGCGACACCUUUACAAAUCCAAAUACCAAAUUUCUGAUGAUGAUUUAUUAUUUAUUUUGCCGAAAGAUGAAAUGACAAGUCAGUUUAAACUCUCACACACAAAUAAAGAUGUUGGGGUUCAAAUAUCAGCCCUAACGUCUAAUAUAAAAAUUUCGAUAUUUUACCAAUUGAGUUAGAAUUUAUGGACAAACCAAAUUAUGAUUUUAUUAAAGUAAAAAACAAUAAAAAUAUUCAAACAAAAUAUUUAGCAGUAUCAAUCAAGCAACCGAUAACAUUUUAUAUUAGUCAUGAUCUGUGAGACAUUCACAAUGUAUAUAUGGACUGUAUAUAUGGACUGAUUUUUUAAGUGAUCAUCUAAUUUUGAGUAAAUAGACAAUUAUUCUUAAAAUUAUAAGUUUCGUCAAUUAUCCUUCUGAAAUUAACAAAACUUUAAUUAUCCUCCUGAAAUUAUACAACGUUGAUCAAUUUACCCCCUCCGUCAAAUUAUUCUAGUCAACAUGACUUUGCAAAUACAUUCCCCUCAAUUAUCCUUCUGAAAUUAACAAAACUUUAAUCAUCCUCCUGAAAUUAUACAACGUUAAUCAAUUUACCCCCUUCGUCAAAUUCUUUUAGUCAACAUGACGUUUGCAAAUACCUUCCCCUGAAGUUUUGCACUAAUGUGCAAAAUACCCCUUGAACUUGAAAAUUUAUAUAUAUUUUUUCUUAUACCUGACUCAAAAGAUAUUAAAGAGAAACAAUUAAUGGAGCUGGCUAAUCCCCACAGAAAUAUAGCUGGCUAAUCCCGUUUUGUAUCCAUGUAUGCAAUCCUACUUAAUGAGUAUUUUAAACUGCUUCUUUUUCUAUCAAAACAAUGUUGAAUUGAAAUUCUUUUUGGAAUUCUAGCUUAUGACUCCCAACAUGGUGCCAAACACAUCAAUAUUGACAAAUAGUGUUAGGCUCCAUAGGAUACGCUUAUGUUGAUUGUCAUGUGCUCAUUAUAUUCACAAACAAAAUAUUAUUGAGUUUAGAUUUCCAUAUCUUAUGUUGUUUGUCUUUAAUAUCUUUUGAGUCAAGGAUAAGAAAAAAAUAUAUAAAUUUUCAAGUUCGGGGGCAUUUUGCACAUAAGUGCAAAACUUCAGGGGAGGUAUUUGGAAAACGUCAUGUUGACUAAUAGAAAAAUUUGACGGAAGGUGUAAAUUGAUUAACGUUGUGCAAUUUCAGGGGGAUAAUUGAUGAAACUUACAAUUUCGAAGGAUAAUUGUCUAUUUAGUCAUUUACUCCCUCCGUCCCUAAUUAUAAGACCCUUUUGAGAUUUUUUUUGUCCCUUUUUAUAAGACCCCUUUGUUAUUUCCAACUACAUUAAUUAUUUCUUUACAUACAUGCCCCUAUUUAUUAUACAUCUUUUUCUUCAAUCAGCAAUAAGUAGCAUAUGGAAAACAUAAACUAACUCUCUCUCUUAAGGAUAAAAUUGUAAAAACAAUAGUGAUUACAAACAACUUUAAUACAAAUAUCCACUUUCUUAAUUCCCGUGAUUUUAGCAAAAUGAUCUUAUAAUUAGGGAGGGAGUAAUUUUCUUUAAGCCAAGUGAUGUAGUUGCUAAAGUUUUAGCUCUAAAAUGCAAAAAUCGGAGUUAAGAUCUCAACCAUUAUAAUAUAAUAUAAUAUUUCUAUCAAUUGAGUUACAUUAAACAAUAACUUUCAUUUUUAUCACAACAACUACAAGAUUGUCACCGUUUUCCUUUGAUGUGGUUGCAAAAUCGUUUACUAAUGAAAUCUCUAUGACUUCGUUUGUAUUUUAUAGAUGCCAAGUUGCAAUAUUUUUUUCUAAAUUGGUUUUUAGUUCUAUAAUUUAUUUUAUUUACAAGGACUGCAAAAUGACUAAAUUAUAUUUUUGACUCCUCUGAUUAUAAACAUUAGACAUUUAGUCUCUUCAGUUUUUUUUUUUUUAUACGGUAAAUAUAAAAAACAUUAUACAGUUUGAUCUCCUUUUAUACGGUAAAUAUAUAUUGUGAUAUCGUAAGGUAUAAAUAUUUAUAAUGUUUGUAACUUAAAAAGACCAAAUUAAAAGAAAAUAAUUUAAACAUUAGAGUGAAAUCUAAAAAAAAAAAAUUAAUAGACAAAAAGGAAAUUGACCCAAAAAAUAAUAGAAUCGAAUCCUAAUUUUUUUUUUUUGACAAAAGAAUCGAAUCCUAAUAACAGUAACAUUUUCACACUUUUCUUAUAUUUACUUUUGCAUCCAAUUUUCUUAAUUUCAUUUUUCCUUUUCAUCAUAUAUUUAAAUUUUUAGACAAAAGUAAACAUGUGAUUCCUUAACUUAAUUUCAGUUAACUAUUUAAUCAUUUUUCUAUUUUUUUUAUUGCAUUGUUGCUCUUUAAUUUUGGUUCAGUUUUAAAUUCAUAAUUUUCUUUUCUUAUGACCUCUCAAUUUUUAAAUAUAUGGUCUUUCAUAUAUGUUUGCAUAUAAAUAUAAUAUUAAAAAUCUGAAAAUUCAUAAGCAAAUAGACAGAAACAAUAAAAUUGCAAUGAAAAAUCAAUAAAAGACCUAAUUAUUAUCUAAAAUUAAGUUUUUUUUAAUGAAUAUCUAAAAUUAACUAUAGUGUAAUUUAACCUAAUUAUUAUUUAUUUUCUUCUAUCUCUCUUUCCCAAAUAUAUAAUACUAUAAGAUAAGAUAUGUACUCCACAUAGUUGUCAAACUAUCAUCAUUAUUUAAUCAUCAAUAAGAGAAAUAUCGGUUCAAAUUAAAAGGCUGCUCCUCAUAGAAAAUGUUCAUAGUGAGGUGUCAAUUUUGACCAACAAAGGCUGCCACUAGUUCAACAAAAAUGAAUAUUUUUAUUUUUAUUUGGUCACUAAAACACAAAGAGACUUGAUAAGUAGUAGCUAGACUGAAGUUGGUGGCAAUCCAAAUUAGUCCUAUAAAUAUCAAACAAAGUAUAGUUUAUUCAUAACACACUCACUACUACUUUGGUAACUUACUCAGAACAAGAAAAAACAGACACACAUAAACACACUUGUUUUUUUACUAAAGUUAUUUUUUCUUCCAAUGGCAACUGAAAACAAAAUCCUGAUCCUAGGACCAACAGGAGCUAUUGGAAGACACAUAGUUUGGGCAAGUAUUAAAGCAGGAAAUCCAACAUAUGCUUUGGUUAGAAAAACACCUGGCAAUGUUAACAAGCCAAAGCUUAUUACAGCUGCUAAUCCUGAAACCAAGGAAGAGCUUAUUGAUAAUUACCAAUCUUUAGGAGUUAUUCUACUUGAAGUAAGUGAUUUCAAUUUCUGAAAUAAUUUUAUAUUUUAUACUAAUUAAAUUUUUCUAAUCAAUAUGUCUUUGACUCUGCAGGGUGAUAUAAAUGAUCAUGAAACUCUUGUUAAGGCAAUCAAGCAAGUUGAUAUUGUGAUUUGUGCUGCUGGUAGACUACUAAUUGAGGAUCAGGUCAAGAUUAUUAAAGCAAUUAAAGAAGCUGGAAACGUUAAGGUGAGCAAAUUUGUCACUACACCACACUAAAUAAGUUCAAAUAAGUCAAUCUAAAUAAACUAUUAAGUAAUAGCUCCUUUGCUGGUUAGAUUUCGGCUUGUUAUAUUGAAUGUUGGUACUAAAUUUCUUGUGUCUACAGAAAUUUUUCCCAUCCGAAUUUGGGCUAGACGUGGACCGUCACGAGGCAGUUGAGCCAGUUAGACAAGUUUUUGAAGAAAAAGCGAGUAUCCGAAGAGUAAUUGAAGCUGAAGGAGUUCCUUACACUUACCUUUGUUGCCACGCCUUUACCGGUUACUUCUUACGUAACUUGGCUCAACUCGACGUCACUGAUCCUCCUCGGGAUAAAGUUGUCAUUCUUGGAGAUGGAAAUGUGAAAGGUAGCAAACUUAUUCACAAAACAGUUUUAGUACUAGUAUUCUACUAAACAUACAUCAUUCAAUUGUUUCAACAUUUGCCUUAAUUUUUUUUUUUUUCAGGAGCUUAUGUCACUGAGGCUGAUGUUGGGACUUUUACCAUUAAAGCAGCAAAUGAUCCCAACACAUUGAACAAAGCUGUCCAUAUAAGACUCCCCAAAAAUUAUUUGACCCAAAAUGAGGUUAUUUCUCUUUGGGAGAAAAAGAUUGGGAAGACUCUUGAGAAAACUUAUGUUUCAGAGGAACAAGUUCUCAAGGAUAUUCAAGGUCAGUAAAAUAAACGCUUUAUAAAUAUUGUUAAGAAUUUUUACAAUGUUAAUCAAUCAAUAAAUCGUUAAAAUUAUUUGAUUUUAAUUAUAUCUAUGCUUACUACGCAGAAUCUUCAUUCCCUCAUAACUACUUGUUGGCAUUGUAUCAUUCACAACAAAUAAAAGGAGAUGCAGUUUAUGAGAUUGAUCCAACCAAAGAUAUUGAAGCUUCUGAAGCCUAUCCUGAUGUCACAUACACCACUGCUGAUGAAUAUUUGAAUCAAUUUGUCUAAGUUUGUCAUCCCGGAAAUGUUAAAUAAGACAAAGAUUAUUUUUUCUUAAUAGUUUCACAUGUUGUACCACAUCAAUUAUAUUGUUAGUUGUCCUUGUUGUCUUGUUCUCAAUAAACCUUCCAAUUGAUGUAAUAUUUUACAAAAAUAAUAAUAUUGUAUUGUUCUAUUGUUUGCACAUUUGUGUCACUAGUAUCACUCUAUUAUUUUGUUGUUGCCCGUGAAUGGGUGACUCAAUAAAUUAUUUAAUACCCACGUCAGGAUGGACCGAUCUACCGUAUGAAGCAAUAUUUGUUUGGUCUCGGUUAUAAAUUUAAAUUAUUUACACACAUGCAAAAGAAAAAAAGUAGAAAGAAUGAACCAAUAUUUUUUUAUUUUAUUUUUAUGGGGGUGUUUGUUUGGGAGAUAAAAAAUAUAUUCCUGGGUAUAAGGGCAUUAAAUAUGAUAUUCCUAUGUUUGGUAGAAGGGAACAAAAAUAAUAUACCCAGGAAUAAAUGAUUCCCAGGAAUCUUAUUUACCCGUUGACUCUCUAUUUUUAUUCCCGGGGGUGGGGGGCUGGAAUCUUCAAUUCCUGAGAAUGAAAUCUCCACAUUCAUGACGAAAACCCACCCAUACCCCUAUUUUACCCACGCUUCUUCCCUCCUAAUUUUUCCCACGCGUUUUCUAAAUUAAUAGAAACCCACAUAUAUAUAAACCCCUCUUUGCUCUCUCUUUUCACUCAUCUGGAUCCAGAUCCAUCCAUAACAGGUUUGUGUCUUAUGUUUUGUUUUGUUUUUUGCGUUUUUUUAACUGCUGGACAGAUUCUCGGCCUGCCAGGCUGCUGUACCAGCGGAGCUGGGCCGCGCAAAUGCGAGUUUCGGUGACUGACAUUCGAGCGGGCAUCCACCAUUCUGUUGCUGUUGCAUGUCAAAGGUGUUGGGCAGUCUGCCAACCUUCAAUUAAAUGGCGUGUAACAACUUGAAACAGGGUACUCUUGUUAUGUAUUAAAAAACAAGUAUAUACCCUGACCAAUACCUUUGUUGACUCGCAUAAUUUACUUUGCUUGAUUAAAAAUAACAUGAAAAAUAUUAUUUUUCAUCAAUUUAAUGUAAAAGGGUAUUUUAAUAAUUUUGACAUUUAUUCCUGGGAUUAUACAUUUUAAACCAAACAUAUUUUUAGUAUUCCCAGGAAUUUAGAAAGAAAGUUCCAAGGAAUUCAAAUUGGUAACCAAACACUUUUUUAAAAUAUUCCUAGGAAUAUAAUUCCAAGGAAUAUAUUCCUGGGAAAAUUAUUCCAGGGAAUAAUUUUUGCAUCUGUGAAACAAACGGCCCCUAUAUUAUUGAAAUAAGUGCCCUAAAGGCAUUUGUUAGCAUUCUCCUUAAAAUAAUUAUAUGAUGUGUAUUUUGAUUGUGCACUUAAAUGAUUUGAAUUUGUGGUUGUGACUAUAUAAAAAUUAUUCGACGGCAUGAUCAACAGACCGUGUGAACAAUUGAAAUAUAUUAAAUAAUCAUGUUCAGACAUCCCUUACUUGUAGAGGUGUCAAAUGGACUGGACAACCCAGUUCGGCUUAAGAGUUUUGACUACAUAAAUGAACCAGUCUGACCAAGCCCAUUUGUAAUUGGGCCGCAUAAAAUAUAAUUGAAUGGAUAUAGAAGUAUAAAUAUUUUUUACAUUACCAUUAAAUACUAAUUAAACUCUAGAUUUAUUUCUUCAAUUGAAUCAAAUUAAUACUACAUCCGUCCAUAAUUAUAGGAUCCUUUUGAAAAAUAACAGGAAUUAAGAAAAUUAAAAGUGAUAAUAAAUUUGUUUUUAAUUACAAUUGUUUUUACAAAUUUGUCUUUUAAGAGUGGGUUAGUCCGUUAAUGUAUGUUUACAAUGUAGUAUUUAAUGAUGAUUGAAGAAAAAGAUAUACAAUAAAUAGGGGUAUGGUGGUAAAGAAUUAAUUAAUAUAUUUGGAAAUAGCAAAGAGAUUUUUAUAAAAAGAGACAAAAAAAUUCUCAAAAGGGUCCUAUAAUUAGGGACAGAGACAGUAGUUUAUAAACUUUAGAAUUUUAAAACUUUGAACUAAAUUUAUGCAUUUUUAUUAAGUUGACUUAUUUCAAUAUAUUUUAUUAAUAAAUUUUUAAAGUAGUUGAUAAUGUUUUUAAAAAAUAUAGCGUUUUUUAACAAAAAUAAAAUAAAAGUAUAGAUAGUAGGUCGGUCCGAAGUCCGAUAGGUUAGCCUGACUCGGCCCCAUUUUCAUAUGGAUCAAAUGAGCUAAGGUAAAAAAAAAUACGAGAGUAUUUUUAGUUAGGUUUGUGGUUCGGCCCAAAAUGUGUCAUUUUUUAUGUCUCUACUUACUAGCCAUCUCACCAUUAACAACGAUUUGUCAACUAAACAAUGUCAUCUUCUUUUCUAUUAAAGUUAACCCGGAAGCCCUAAUUUUAACCUAAACUAUAUUGCAUAAAUUUACUGUUUUAACCCUAAUGCUUAAUUCCUUUGUUUAAUCCUAUUAACCCUAUUUCUUGGUUGAAACAAAUUGAACCUAAUCUCCUAUUUUCUUGAAUAAAACAAAUUGGCCCUAUUUCUUCAACAAAACAAAUCGCUUUAUUUCUUGCUUUAAAAAAGAAACAACAACUCAAGUUGGGAUACUCUACUUGACCUAGAAGAGAAAUAACGGAAAGAAGAACUUGCCUUUUUGAGAACUUAUUGUCGGAACUCGGAAGCAAUGGUGAUCUGCUAAGUUUAUGGCGAGUUCGAUUGAUUAUGAGCUGCUAAGUUCGAUUGAGUAAGAGUUCGAUUGAUUAUGAGUUGCGAAGUUCCAUUGAGUAACAGGCAACAAAUCCUUCUUCUCAUGGCGGUAGGGAUGAGAGAUUUUGCUUACAACAAAUUAAUGGCAUGAUCAUAGGAAAGAGAUUUUAGUUUCUAGGUUUAGUAAGAACAAUGGGAUGAGAAAUGAUGAGGUAGAGUUGCAUGUGAAGAUAUGAUGAGGGAGAUAAAGAUGUUGAUAGGUUUUGGAAUAGGAAAGUAAUUUUUAUGAGAGAGGUUGACUACAGCUAUAAAAUAAAUGAUAAUUAUAUUUAUUUGAUACUUCCUAAAUGUUGUUACUUGAGAGUUAAAACGAUCUCUUUCCUGUGCAAACUAAAAAAUAAAGAGAAUAUAUGAAUUUUUAAUUCCAGCUAUUUUUUAUUCUUUUUUUUUUUUGUCUUUGAAAAUUGAUCUUUAAACUUCAUUAUUUGAAAAAAUCGAUUAUUUAUACUUUAACUAUUUUUAUUAAACUUAAUGUCUACUAAAAAUACAAUCUUAUUUCUUCUUAAUUUUUUAACACGUGAUCAAAAUUAUAUCUUUUUGUGUCUUUUGCUCCAACUUCCCUCUAUUUUUGCUUUCUUAAAAACAAAUUAAAACAAACUCACUCGAUAGAAUUCACUAACUUAAUCUUUUUUUAAAGAAAAAACAAGCUUAAUCUUAAUAAAUAUAUAAAGAGUUAAAAAUAAUUUACAAUCUAUUUUCUUUCUCUUUCUCUAAUUAUGAAGUUAAUGACCGAUAAAAACAAAUUUUUGCCUCAUCUUAAUAUUUUGACACCUCAACAUAUAUUUAUCUUUGUAUGUCUUUUGUAACAAAAUAUCCUAUUUCGCUGAGGGAGAAAAUAACUUUCAAAAGAUUGAUGUGAUUUUAUAACAAAAAAUUCAUUUUAUAUUGAUAUAUCUAUACAAUCUAAAAUAUUUGAAUACCGGACAAAUUACUCUUAAAAAAAAAAAUCAUCGGCAAAUUAUAAUAACCUCCCUUAAGAUCUUCUUAAAUACUAACCUUCCUUAAGGUCUUCUUAAUUGAAAAGCACUUCCCCUAUAAUAUAACACGGUUUAAACUUCGUUCAUUCUAUUUUUUUUAGCAAUUAACUUCUCCAUACGAGUAUAAACUCACUUAAUUUUUCGACCAUUUUUUCUUUCCAUUUUUCACUUUAGUGAUUUUCUCAACUUAUUGUUCCUCAAUUAAGGUGAUUUAAUUUUUAAACUCUAAUAUAAUAAAACGGAUAUAUCAAAGAUUAUUUUCUUUUCAUUGAUCAACUGCAAUGUCCAUCCACUAAAAUUCUUCUCAUUUCUAUAUUCUCUCCUGAUCUCUUAUGUAAUUGCCGAUGUUUGAUUCUAUUUGGCGGUAUGAACAAAUGUUGUUAUUGUUUCUUCAUUGCGAGAAAAAAACUCAUUUAAACAUAAUUGUGAAAAGAGAAAUUAGAUACAAACAAACCAAAAUGACUGAAAUUAAAUUGUAUAUUUACAAAGUUAUUGAAAUGGAAAAAAUGUGGGAAGAUUGAUGUGUUGGAAAAUUAGAAGGCGUGCUUGUGUUAUUUAAGAAAAUCUCAAGGGAUGUCAAUGUAAUUUACCCUUUUAUCAUUAAUGUUGACUUUAUCAUUAGUUUUUUCUUAUUUUUUCAAUUCAUAUAGCAUUGCAAUGCGCUUUGAUGCAUACCCCCGCUUCAAAUUAGCUCGUGCGGAGAGCACGGGUUUGUUGCUAGUUGAUAUAAAUAAUGUGAUUGAUGUCACUUUCAGUUAGCCCCCAAAACUUUGCAUAAAGGGUGAUUCACUGUCAAUUAAAAUUUCUGAAGAUUUAUACCAAGUAGGGUUGGAAAAAUACAAGAACGAAUUGCAUGGUAGAUUUAAGUUGUAAAGGAGGAUAUGCCACCAUGGUCGUAUCUGAGGUAGGAUAAAGAGAACGACUGUACUAGACUUCAAAAAAUAAGUUCAAAAAAAUACAAAAAUAAUACUUAAAAGUUUAGUUCUUUGUUGGCACAUAUCUAGAAAUGCUUGUAGAAAUUGUUUUGUAUGAGCAUUUAAAUAUUAAAUAAAAAAUCAUAAUUUUAUACGAAGUUUGAUAUUUUUAUUAGAUUAUUUCUUAGCGUAAUAAAAACCAUCAUUUUCAAGUAAAUUAUUUUCACACUUUAGAAAUUCAAUUUUUUUAUAUGCUUAUUAUUUAAGACUCAAAUUGUAGAUUUACCCUUAGGACACCAAAAUCUUAGAAACGAACAUGUAUGUCACUCAAGUCGGAUGACCUUCAAUUCAAAUUAGCCAAAUUAUUGAAAUCAUUAUGUCAUUGAAAAAAUGAUACCACUAGGUAAGGGUUUUUACGAAAUUUCAUUUAGUUUCUAAAGAGGGUUUAAGAAGGACAUGGAUUAUGGGAGCACAAUCUUUGCAUUUGGGUAUCUUGUCUUUGCUUCGAUGGACACCAGAUUUCAGUUUAAGGAAACGAAGACAAACAAAUGUAGAAUGUUGUUAUCUCCAGUUAUACUUCCUUCAAUUUGUGAGUAAGUAAAAUUAUGGCUUAAUUACCUAUUUUGUUUCUUUCACUGAAUUACAUAAAACAUGUGACAUGUCUAAAAGAAAUUCAAUUUGGCUAUCAACAUUGUUGAAUGUGACUUAAACUUUCAUGUUUGAAUGGUGAAAAAAUGGUUUGCUAUUGUCCAAUAUGAAAGGCAUAUCCGGUGGUGAGGCGCAAGGCAUACUCUGGGUGUUUUUAUCACAUUUCGGUUCUGUCCCACAUGCCUUGCGCAUGGAGCAACAUGCAAGGCGCAUCCUGGAUAUGCUAACUUGAUGCAAGGUGCCUACAUCAGGUACAUCAUCUAUGAUUUCCAGUUUUCUCAUUCUUUUGUGAUUAAUCUUAUGAAACUAAAGAAGAUAGCUCUUAAGUAUCUUAGAGGCUAAAAGUAGAGGGUCUUUGUGUGAGAUUUUUAGGUUGGGCGGGAAACACAUUGUAAAUUUGAAUGUUGGCAACAAGUUAUGCAAGCUGAACUUUCUGCUCUUGAGACUCCUGGUACAUGGAAAAUUGUGGAUUUACCAUAAAAUGUGAAACAAAUAGGUUACAGAUGGAUUUAUAAGAUCAAACAUUAUGUUGAUGGAUCUAUUGAGAGGUACAAAGCCAGACUUAUUGCAAAAGGGUACAAUAUUUGAUAGAAAGACUUGAUUAUUUUAUCGCAUACUCACCAGUUGAUGUAAUAUUUUAGAAAAAUAACAAUAUUGUAUUUUGUUCUAUUGUUUGCACAUUUCACAUUUGUGUCACUAGUGUUCAGUUUUGAAAAUUUUACAUCACUCUAUUAUUUUAUUGUUGCCCGUGAAUGGGUGACUCAAAAACUUAUUUAAAACACACGUCAGGAUGGACCGAUCUAUACCACAUGAAGCAAUUUUAUUUAUUUAUUUUAAACAAUGUACCUUUUGGACAUUGUGUGGUCACAAAUUCUUCAAAAAUAAAAUUUAAAUUAUUUACACAUAUGCAAAUGAAAAAAUUAGAAAAAAAAGAAGCGAUAUCUUUUAUUAUCAUUUUUUUGAAGAGACUAAAAUGAAUUAUAUUACCACCACGAAAGUCUUCCUAGCACAAGGGAUGUCAAGGAAUAAAAACCUCAAAGUCAAACAAAAUAAUAAAUUACAACAAGGCAAAAGCCAUCACCACAAAACAACCUGAAACAACACAACAAUUAUCCUAUGCCUAGUAAAGUGAACGAACUAAGCCACCAACCAUGAUAGUUAAAAUGAAGAGUAGCAUACUUCGCCUUCAACCACUUGAAUGUUAGCAACUUAAUCCUAUCCACCACCUGCAUAAUGGCGCUAUCAUUAGCAUUAAAAAUUAUGUUGUUUCUUUCCUUCCAUAUUUCCCACAUAGUCGCAAACCAAAUCACCUGAAGAAUAGAUUGCCUCGACUUAGAGCCACCGCUUAAAAAACUGAAUUGAAUAAAAUGCCCCGAAACAUCUAAAGGCAUCGCUGUAGCUAUACCAAUCCAUUGAUAUAUAUAAUUCCAAACCGAUCCAAAAAGACUACAAUGUAAGAAUAAAUGGUUUUAUGUUUCAACAAAACCGCAUCCACCAACACAAAUUUGAGCGUCAAAAUCUAAAACAUGACGCCUAUGAAGAUUAACCUUUGUAGGAAGCCGGUCACGAAAUACACGCCACGCAAAAAGCACCACCUUCAAAGGGACAUCCUUAUGCCAAAAAGAAGGCAAACGCACCACAUUAUCAACAUGAACCUGCGCCAUGAGAGUAGUGUCUGCACUUUUUACUGUAUAACAGGAAGUAGGAUCCGCGUUCCACUUCCAAAAAUCCUUUAUGUGAACCUGAAAAGAAACAUUUUGAAGUAAAAGCCUAAGCUCCCCUACCGACUCUUCCUCCCAAGCCCACAGCCUACGCCUCCACCUCCACGCCCCACCCUCCUCCUCCCACCCUAACGCUCUCAUCGCUGCAACAGACUCCUCCUUUAGAAGCGACAACUCAUACAACCUACUAAAUCUAUCCCGAAGCGACACUCGCUUCACCCAAACAUCCGUCCAAAACAAGACACUAGACCCAUCACCCAAAGAACGACUAAUAUUAUUAUUAAACCAGCCCUCAGAUCGCAAGGCCACUAUACUUCGCCACCACGCGGAACCAUCACGACCUCCACUACACAAGUGACCGCCCUCCAAACCAUUUCGCGCCGCUAACACCCUAAACCACAGACUAUCCCUAUCCACCAACACCACUUCCCUAAUAAUGCUAAAUUAAAUUCUUUAAUUCUCCUAACCCCCAAACCUCCAACUUCCUGACUCCGACAAACAGAAUUCCAAUCAACCCAAAUAAUUUUCCUGUGGUCUGCACUCCCCCCCCCCCCAAAAAAAAUUAUUUAAAAUAGAUUCAAUAGAAGAAACAAUACCUGACGGAGCCUUGAAAAAAGAAAGAGCAUAAACAGGCAGGGACGAUAGGACGGACUUCAGUAGAACCAACCGGCCACCCAAAGACAAGUGUUUCGACUUCCAACCCAACAAUCUAGACUUAAGACGGAAUGAUUUAUAUUUUGUAUAUGUACCUAAAUGAUUUGAAUUCGUGGUUGUGACCACACAAAACUUAUCCGACAGAAUGAUCAAUAGACUAUGUAGACAAUUGAAAUAUAUUAAAUAAUCAUUUUCGGAUAUCCCUUACUUUGUAGAGGUGUCAAAUGAAUUGAUCCGACUCAGUCCGGACUGAGAGGUCCGACUACAUAAUUUGGUCAGAACGACCCAACCCAUUUGUAACUGGACCGCAUAUUAUAGAGCCCGACCUGAUCUAUAGGUCAUGGACCAACCCGACCCGUUUAUUUAUUUAUUCACUUUUUUUUCUUUCUUUUUUUUUAUGUAUUUUUUAUAUAUUAGUUACCCACAACAAUCUUUUUUCUCAAAUAUGAUUGGAUGAACAUAGAAAUGCAAAUAAUUUUUACAUUAACAUUAAAUACUAAUUAAACUUGAGAUUUAUUCCUUCAAUUGAUUCAAUUAAUAAUUUAUAAACUUUAGAAUUUUAAAUCUUUGAGCUAAAUUUAUCCGAUUUUAUUAAGUUUACUUAUUUAAUUUUUUUUUUUAUUAAUGACUAUUAAAGCAGUUGAUAAAGUCUUAAAAAAUAUAGCGUUUUUAACAAAAAUCAAAUGGAAAUAUUGAUAGUGGACCGGUCCGAAGCCUGAUAGGUUAGCCCGACUCGGCCUAUUUUUAUAUGAAAAUUACUCUUCUUCCUUUUAAAAUUGUUUAUUCUCUUAAGAUCGGUUGACCCGACUGAAAAUGUGAUUGAAUCGAUUUUAAAAGUGUUAGCAAGAGUUAACUACCGCUGAAAAAUACCUAACGUGAGUUAACUUCCGCUUAUAUAAGAGAAUGAUCAAUUUUGAAAGGAAUAAGAGCAAUUUUCUUUUUAUAUGGGUCAAAUGAGUUACGGUCAAAAAAGUCCGAAAAAUGCUCUUCUCUCAAAAAGAUUUGCUCACUUCCAACCAAACUUACAAAAAUACUCCACAUAAGUUAAGUCACACAUAUAUUAAACUCAGCAUGACUUAACUCACGUUAAAAAUUUAAACUGAACUGCAACAUAAAUUAACUCACCUUAGUUUUCUUUCUCAAGUUUCACAUGAAAAUCUUGCUCCUGCUAAGAUGCUUAUUUAAUUAUUUAAUAUAUUGCUGUUGAUAUGAUUGUGUGUACCUGUCGCAGUAAUGCAAAGUAGAAGGUAUCCAGCAUGACCCAUACCAUGAUGCUAGCAGCAGUACACACGUGUGUUGUUAGGACAGCAAGAGAUGCAAUGGUCCAUACACCCAUUUAAACCAUUAUAAGCAUUGGAGGAGCAAGAUUUUCAUGUGAAAAUUGAGAAAGAAAACCAGCGUCAGUUAACUUACGAUGGGAUUUAGUGUGAGUUUUUAGCAUGGCUUAAGUCACGUAGGUUGUAUUCCAGUAUGAUUUAAGUAAGUUGGGUUUAACACUUGCGUGAUUUAACUCACGCGAGGAUAUUUUCAAAAAUUUGGUUGAGAAUAAACAAAUCUUGUUGAAAAAAGAGCAUUUUUCAAAAAGUCCGAAUGCAUUUUGGGCCGUCUUUUUUAGAUCCAGCCCAAAAUGUGUUAGUUUUUGCAAUCUCUACCUACUUGCCAUCUCACUAUUAACAACGAUUUAUCAACUAAACUAAACAAUGCCAUUUUUUAUACAUGCACUAAAUAAUGUGAUUGAUGUCACUGUCACACAACCCCCAAAACUUUGCAUAAAGGGGGAUUCAUUGUCAAUAAAAAUUCCUAGGAUUUAUACCAACCAGGGUUGGAAAAAUACAAAAACAAACUGCAUGGUAGAUUUACGCUGCAAAGAGGGAUAUGCCAUGGCCGUAUCUUAGGCAGGGCAAAGAGGACGAUCAUACUAGUUCUCACAUAAUAACUUCAAAUUUAGAUCUCAAAAUUCAAAAAUAAUAUUUAAAUAUUUAGUUCUUUGUUGGCACAUAUCUAAAAAUGCUCAUAGAAAUUGUUUUGUAUGAGUAAUUAAUAUUAAAUAAAAAAUUUCAAUAUUUUAUAUGAAGUCCAAUGUUUUAUUAGAUUAUUUCUUAGCGUAAUAAAAACUAUUAUUUUCAAGCAAAUUUUUUUCACAUUUUAGAAAUUCAAUUUUUUGUAUAUAUUUAUUAAUUAUGAUCCAAAUUGUAGGUUUAUCUUUAAACCACCAAAAUCUUAGAAACGGGCUUGUAUGCAUCUCAAGUCGGACGACCUUCAAUUCAAAUUAGUCAAAUUAUAGAAACCAUUAUGCCGUUGAAAAGAGGCUUUAAGAAGGACCUGAAUUCUGAGAGCACAGACUUUAUAUUUGGGUAUCUUGUGUUUGCUUCAGUGGACACCACACUUCAAUCUAUGGAAACAAAGACAAACAAAUGUACAAUGUUGUUAUCACCAAUUAUAUUUCCUUCAAUUUGCAAAGAAGUAAAAUCAUGGCUUAAUUACAUAUUUAGUUCCUUUCACUGAAUUACAUAAAACAUUUGACAUGUCUUAAAGAAAUCCAAUUUGGCUAUCAACAUUGUUGAAUGUGACUUAAACUUUCAUGUUUGAAUGGUGAAAAAAUGGUUUGUUAUUGUCCAAUAUGCAAGGCAUAUGCGGUGGUGAGGCGCAAGGAGCAUCCUGGAUCUGCUGACUGUGCGCAAGGUGUCUGCAUCAAGUCCAAUAUCUAUGGAAUUUCAGUUUUCUCAUCCUUUUGUGGUUGUGAAACUAAACAAGAUAGCUUUUAAGAAUCUUAGAGACUAACAGUUGAGUUGAGGGUUUUAAGUAAGAUUUUUAGGUUGUGAAACUCAUUAUAAAUAUUUUGGAGAUUAAAAGUAGUUGAGUCUCUUGAUCACAAAAAGAUAUAGAAAAAUGGGUAAAAAUUAGAUUGUUCAUAGAGAACUUGUUCAAGCUAAUUUUUUAUAACUUAUUUUUAUCAUUUGUAAGAAUUAAACUCAUUUAUUGGGAAUUGGAGAGUUGCAUUUUCCCAUAUGUAGGUUAUUAUUGUUGGACCAAACUGAAAACCAAAUCUUGAUGUGUUUAUUUCUCUACUCUCUUUAUUUUGUUGUUGUUGCUUUGAUUGUGGAUUUUCUUUACGCUUUUUUGUUACAUCGACAAUUAUAAAAAAUUAACAAUCUAUUGAAACUCAUUUCAAGCGCUCUAAGUGUUUAAGAACAAUUUAUGUUGAGUGAUUAAACACAUUUUUUUUUGUAAUAGCUGUAUAUAUCUAUCAAAUGAAGACAAAUUCUUUGUAUUUUUUUCUUUUUAUUUAUUAUAUUUACUUUUUGCUUAAAAAAAACGAAGAGAAAUUCAACAUGCAGGUUGUGUGGUGUCAUUGUUGAAAAAUUGUGAAGUAUAGGUUUCAAGUUGAAUAUUAAAAAAUCCUUAAAAAGUUAGAUGUAUCAUCGAUAAUUUGGAUUAUAGAUGGAUGAUACGAUGGAUACAUACUCAACCAAAUUGUUUUCGUAAGCUGAGUUUUUUGUAUAUAUAUAUUACAACUGACUAGUAGUAUGUUUUAUGCGGAGUUAAUAGACUUAAGAGAAGGUGUCAAUCUUGACCAACAGGGGCUACUUCUAAUUCAACAAUAAUGGAAUAUUAUUAAAUUUGGUCACCAAAACACACAGAGAGUAGUAGAUAGAUGGAAGUUGGUGGCAAUCCAAAUUAGUCCUAUAAAUAUCAAACAAAGUAUAGUUUAUUCAUAACACACUCACUACUACUUUGGUAACUUACUCAGAACAAGAAAAAACAGACACACAUAAACACACUUGUUUUUUUACUAAAGUUAUUUUUUCUUCCAAUGGCAACUGAAAACAAAAUCCUGAUCCUAGGACCAACAGGAGCUAUUGGAAGACACAUAGUUUGGGCAAGUAUUAAAGCAGGAAAUCCAACAUAUGCUUUGGUUAGAAAAACACCUGGCAAUGUUAACAAGCCAAAGCUUAUUACAGCUGCUAAUCCUGAAACCAAGGAAGAGCUUAUUGAUAAUUACCAAUCUUUAGGAGUUAUUCUACUUGAAGUAAGUGAUUUCAAUUUCUGAAAUAAUUUUAUAUUUUAUACUAAUU